AUGCUUGCUUCAUCAGCACAUACACUAAAAUUGGAACAAUACAGAGAUUAGCCUGGCCCCUGUGCAAGGAUGACAUGCAAAUUCGUGAAGUGUUUCAUAUUUAU
Homo sapiens (human) is the source of this 104-nucleotide small nuclear RNA. Lineage: Eukaryota; Metazoa; Chordata; Mammalia; Primates; Hominidae. The record is from Ensembl.